Molecule: ribosomal RNA, 925 nt
Filed under: Triticum aestivum (bread wheat)
Lineage: Eukaryota; Viridiplantae; Streptophyta; Magnoliopsida; Poales; Poaceae
Description: partial small subunit ribosomal RNA
Source: RNAcentral
CGUCGAGUUUGAAAGACGUCUGAGGGUCAAUUCUUAGUUCCCUAGAGGUUCAGGUUUGUUGUACAGGUGGUUCGUCCACGGUGUUGUCUUGUGGAGUAGUGCAUGGGCAGGUUGCAUACGCGGUGUUGUUCCACUGAGGUGUCGUAGCGGAUCAAGACCACGAAGCUCAUGAUCCAGACACCCACACGUAACUUAUUAAUAAGAUGCAGCCCCUUAUUUCGACCCUGUGGUGUAUUAUUACGCCGUCAACGUAGAAGAUUACGUUGAUUUCGACUUCGAUUUAGCUACGUAUUUGGUUAGUUGUUUUCCGUUUCGUUUAUUUGGAUUCCGUACCGAGGUUUAUGAAGCGUCACCACUUAAGGCCUAAGUGUAUAUACAAAAUUAGGAGGGCACACCCAACUACUUCUUCUUCUUGUUAGACUUGUAGCAAACCGCACGAAAUAGAUAUUUAUUUACGUAUAUGACCUCAGAGAUUAUCAUACAUUCUUUAAAUUCUCCCCCGUCUCCCUGUACCUCUUAUGGCCUUUGACCUCUUAUGCGGCUCACUUUUUAGAGAUUUACCUAGGCACCGCAGCCCGUACUAAAGUCCUUGAGACGGUCCUCCUAAUAAAAACGAAGUAUGGCUAUUAUCAAGAAGACAUUACUUCGAGAGCUUCGUGGUUAGGUGCAGUAUUACCUCCAGUACCGGGACCACUAAGUAACCUAUCUAGAGAACAAAUCGUAAGUCAGAUUAAGAAGCCACCUGGACAAAUGGAACACCGGGCGAAACGUAUAUCUGUAGAUCAACAAGUCUAGUUUUCCGACUACGUUCUUAUCCUCAAAUACGUCAUCUUUAAUCGGGCUCUAGUUUUAUCCCACCGAUUAACACGUUUAAGACCAACAAGAUUUACGUAAUGACCUUAUUUUGAGGUGCAAAGAGGUUUUA